GGCAUAGCGUGGAUUGCGGAGGAUGCGUGUCACUCUGUUGUGCUCCAGGUCACCCCACCCGACUUCCACAGGACAUCCGGGCUGCCGAAUCAAUCGCGGGAAGCGCAGACCGUGCUCGCGAAAGUGCUUCGCCACACCGAGCGCUGAACCCACCCGGCGAAAGGUGUCGAAGACGGAUCGAAUUGCCUGCUGAACUUGCUGAUCAGGGUCCAACACCACUCGGCCUUCAUCGUCGUAGACGAAGCCAAACGGCAGUGGCGUUUCCAGUUCGCCGCGCUUGUUCAGAACCCCGCCGCGCAUCCGGGCGCGGAUGAGGUGGAGUUCUGCUUCGCUCAUUGUGCCCUUCAGACCCAACAGGAGACGAUCGUUGAAGUCACCGGGAUGAUAAAUGCCAUCCUCGUCCAGGAUCAACGUAUCUGUGAGGGCGCAGA
This 431-nucleotide unclassified non-coding RNA is filed under the name plant metagenome. RNAcentral's name for it is "partial contains 5.8S ribosomal RNA, internal transcribed spacer 2, and large subunit ribosomal RNA". The record is from RNAcentral.